RNAcentral lists this RNase P RNA (387 nucleotides) under Sphingopyxis italica. RNAcentral describes it as "Bacterial RNase P class A". It matches the Rfam family "Bacterial RNase P class A". From Rfam's summary of the family: Ribonuclease P (RNase P) is a ubiquitous endoribonuclease, found in archaea, bacteria and eukarya as well as chloroplasts and mitochondria. Its best characterised activity is the generation of mature 5'-ends of tRNAs by cleaving the 5'-leader elements of precursor-tRNAs. Lineage: Bacteria; Pseudomonadati; Pseudomonadota; Alphaproteobacteria; Sphingomonadales; Sphingopyxidaceae. The record is from Rfam by way of RNAcentral.
CCAGAGGGUCGGGCGAUCGCCGCCGCGCAAGCGGGGGAGGAAAGUCCGGGCUCCACGGAAACUACGGUGCCGGAUAACGUCCGGCGGGCCGGUCCUCGGACCGGUUCAGGGAAAGUGCCACAGAGAGCAGACCGCCAAAGGCUUCGGCCCGGCGAAAGGUGAAAGGGUGCGGUAAGAGCGCACCGCGCGGACGGUAACGGACGCGGCAUGGCAAACCCCACCGGGAGCAAGGUCGAAUAGGGAUGGCACGGAGAAAUCCAGGGUCGGUUCCGGCCCCGCCGUCCGGGUUGACUGCUCGAGCGUUCGGGUAACCGUUCGCCUAGAGGAAUGAUCGCCUAUCCCCGGCAACGGGGUGGACAGAACCCGGCUUACAGACCCUCUGGCAAC